Long non-coding RNA from Homo sapiens (human), 1511 nucleotides. Ensembl annotates it as long intergenic non-protein coding RNA 1192. NCBI's taxonomy places the organism in Eukaryota, Metazoa, Chordata, Mammalia, Primates, Hominidae. The record is from Ensembl.
GGGAGUGGGAAAGAGGUGGCAUCGGCGGUUCAAGACUGAGUUUUCUAUCUCUUCAGUGCCUCUUUCAACAAUGAAGAUCAAACCAGGUUUUGUGCAAAUAUCUGCUGAGUGAACUACUUAUUUGAAAAUACAUCAUUGGUUAAUAUUCCCUUUUGCUCAUUGAAAUCUCAAAGACUACAGACCCCGCACAAGACAUUCUGACAUUCCCGUCUUUGAAAUGAAUGACAGCAAUGAUAAAUAUGGCUCACCUCCAGAGAUACAGAUCUCACAACUUCAUAUUUUUAAUAUAAAUUAUUAAUCUGAGGUGUGGUGCAAUUCCAUUAGAUGAAAGAGAUCUACACAUUCAGAAGCACAUGAUUCUUCCCCCUUCCAUGAUUCCAGUGGCCAAUAGACAAACUACAAUAAAGCCAUGCCCUGACUGGAUGUGCCUAACAUUUGUCUGGUGCUUAAAGGAGUUGGCUGCAUGCGUGGAAAUGUUGGAAAGUCACCAAAAAUAGUUCUCCAAGUCAGAAGCGGUGCAAAAGCUGCCUCAGCUCUUGGUGGAUUUUCAAUUUCUCCCAGCCAUCUCUGUUUCGCUAAAGGUUUCUGAAGACAGUGGAAUGCUGUUGAAGACACCACCUUGAUAAAACAAAAACAUCAGCCAAAUUAAAUUUAAAGGAGUUUAAUUGAGCAAAGAAUUAUUCAUGAAUCAAGCAGUCUUCCAAGCCAGAGUAGGCUCAAAUACUCCAGCACAGCCACGUGGUGGAAGAUUUAUGGACAAAAGAAGAAAAGUAACAUAUAGAAAAUGGAAAUGAGAAAGAACUGUGCUCCAUAUAUCUGGAAAGCAAGAAUGAAAUAAUUUACAGAUAUACUAUUGAAAUUUCAGGGAAGCUUUUUUCUCCUCCCCAUCCUGAUCACUAGUAUGAGAAGGGGUGCUAAUGGACCAGCCUUGGCCUUGCAGAUGAAGAUGAUGAAGGAAGAAGAUGUAUAAAGAACCUCUGAAAGAGUCCCAGUUUUACAUUUCAAAGUCUUUUUCCUUCUGUUGUUUAUUGUGUUGGGUUGGAGUGGAGGAUAUUUGAUGGAGAAUUGAUUCUGAAACUUGCCAAAAUAUGGAUAAUACUUUGCUCCUUUUCCAUUGUGGGUUAUCACAAAGAAGAGUUUCACUUUUAGUCAUCUAUUUACAGAUAAUGAAGAUAUUAUACCAUUAUAUGCUCUUGAAUCUGUCUCAUUGUGACUUGGCGAAGAGGCAGUGAAUCUGCCAAAAAGAAGUAGAGCAGCUGUGAAGAUGCCAACACAAUUGAGUACUCUUUCUCUACAUAUUUCUAAAUAUGGCAAUUUAUUGGACACUUAUGAGCAUGGAAUGACAAUGGGGUCAAUUUAACCAUACGGCAAUGCUGAGACACCUUCAUUAUGACCUUUCCCUGGUAUAAGUUAUGUGAUAAUGAAUGCAUGUUUAGUCACACACUGUAGGUACAGAUGGGAAAAAAGAAAGCAUAAAAUAUAAAACAUGAUGUCCAGGUUUCAAAUAAGAA